GACGAACGCUGGCGGCGUGCUUAACACAUGCAAGUCGAACGGUGAUGCUCCAGCUUGCUGGAGUGGAUCAGUGGCGAACGGGUGAGUAACACGUGAGCAACCUGCCCCAGACUCUGGAAUAAGCGCUGGAAACGGCGUCUAAUACUGGAUACGAAACUGGCCCGCAUGGGCAUGGUUUGGAAAGUUUUUCGGUUUGGGAUGGGCUCGCGGCCUAUCAGCUUGUUGGUGAGGUAAUGGCUCACCAAGGCGACGACGGGUAGCCGGCCUGAGAGGGCGACCGGCCACACUGGGACUGAGACACGGCCCAGACUACUACGGGAGGCAGCAGUGGGGAAUAGUGCACAAUGGGCGAAAGCCUGAUGCAGCGACGCCGCGUGAGGGAUGACGGCCUUCGGGUUGUAAACCUCUUUCAGCAGGGAAGAAGCGAAAGUGACGGUACCUGCAGAAGAAGCACCGGCUAACUACGUG
This 468-nucleotide ribosomal RNA is filed under the name uncultured bacterium. Its description in RNAcentral is "partial 16S ribosomal RNA". It matches the Rfam family "Bacterial small subunit ribosomal RNA", at positions 28 to 507 of the family's 1533-position model. The record is from RNAcentral.